UCAGGAUGAACGCUAGCUACAGGCUUAACACAUGCAAGUCGAGGGGCAGCAUGGAGUUGCUUGCAAACUCUGAUGGCGACCGGCGCACGGGUGAGUAACGCGUAUCCAACCUUCCCUAUAGUAGAGGAUAGCCCGGCGAAAGUCGGAUUAAUACUCUAUGUUUUCCGUUGCAGACAUCUAAGAUGGAACAAAGGCUUGCCGCUAUAGGAUGGGGAUGCGUCUGAUUAGGUAGUCGGCGGGGUAACGGCCCACCGAGCCAUCGAUCAGUAGGGGUUCUGAGAGGAAGGUCCCCCACAUUGGAACUGAGACACGGUCCAAACUCCUACGGGAGGCAGCAGUGAGGAAUAUUGGUCAAUGGACGAGAGUCUGAACCAGCCAAGUAGCGUGCAGGACGACGGCCCUAUGGGUUGUAAACUGCUUUUAUGCGGGGAUAAAGUUCACUACGUGUAGUGUUUUGUAGGUACCGCAUGAAUAAGGACCGGCUAAUUCCGUGCCAGCAGCAGC
This 504-nucleotide ribosomal RNA is filed under the name uncultured bacterium. RNAcentral describes it as "bacterial SSU rRNA". It matches the Rfam family "Bacterial small subunit ribosomal RNA", at positions 24 to 518 of the family's 1533-position model. The record is from RNAcentral.